Paramuricea clavata is the source of this 215-nucleotide non-coding RNA. NCBI's taxonomy places the organism in Eukaryota, Metazoa, Cnidaria, Anthozoa, Malacalcyonacea, Plexauridae. The record is from the annotation of a GenBank genome assembly.
UGGUAUUGAAGGAACUAGAUACUGUUCCGAAAUAUCACUUACUCGACCCGUCCUGACCGCGUAGCUCAGUUGGAAGAGCAUUGGGCUAGUAUUCCAAAGGUCGUAGGUUCGAAUCCCACCGUGGCCGGGCAUAUUUUUCAAGCUCGCCCGGUGUGGAUAUGCACUCAGAGUAACAUCGCAAACAUAUGUUUUAACUAUUUUAUACAUAUUUAUUA